GCUGGAGAUCUUUGCGAGAGAAGAAAUGGUCUUUUUUUCCUCCUUUAUAAUGUUUAGUGUAAUAGUUAACUAUCUUUGAAACCUGAGUUUAUAUUAUGUUGCAGGCAGAGAGGAGUUGAUCUCAACUGGAACUGGAGUGUAGAUUGAGGAAAAAAUGAGAUUGUGAUAACAACAUAGUGUGACACGUGAAGAGGCUUUAUAUGGGUCUUUGUGCACUCUGGAAUGGAGGAAUGCUUCCAUUAUAACCUGCAGAACGAAGCCGAAAAACCUUUACUCAUUGUUUAUCCAGGUUCAGUUUCCCUGCUAGCUUUACAUUUACAAUUUUAUGCCAUGGUUGGUGUGACUAAAAUGUCAUUUGUUGUUAUAAACAGUUAUUUGCAAUAGCAUUGUGCUGCAUAGUAGUUAUAGAACCGGGUUCUGUCAAGAAAGUGUCAAUUCAUAGAUUUCCUGACUUUUCUACCCUGCAUCAUGUAAAUAUGUUGAUCAUUUUUGGGUACUAAGCUUAGCAUAUUUACCAAUUGUAUUACAAGCCAUUAGCCAUAGGGGACAUAGUCACUCUUUUUUCCAUGCAGACUCAUGACAUUCAUCUAAAUGAUGCUGAUUUCCCGGAUGCAAUUUGGUCAUGAGUUAGAAUCAAGGUGGAACACAAAAUUAAAGUAGCAGAGGUACAUUGGAGCUAUGAGUUUGUUUCUGGGGGAACGAAGAAUCAUCUAGUUUUGGUAAAUAUUAAGAACCAGGGUGUAUUCAUGUGUUCUGACAUUAACAUAUUUGAUAGGCAAAUGCAAGCUUGUGGAGAAGCUGCAGCACUCCUUUACCGAUGAUAGCUAUAGCUUGUUCUUUGAUUCUAUAAGUUGAAUGAAUUUAUCAAGUUCAAUUUUAUCACCUUCCUCAGAUUUUUUUCCUUUUCAAUUUCUUAUAUUUGGUCUUUUCUUUUUGUUGAUAAAAUGUUAAAAUCUCUUGCAGGGAGUCAAGAAGUUCCAAAGUGCAGGAAGCUCUAGAAUCCACAUCUAUUAAGAGGGGGAGGUCUUCGUGUGUGGUCUCUUACGGAUGCUGGGUUCUGGUUUGGAUUCCCUUGUACCCGUGAAUAACAUUGCUUGUGCUGUUGCUUUCUCUGAUUGCUCAUUUUUUAUUCUUUUCCUACACCAACUAGUGAUUUCUUCCAUCUGCUGAUUUUGCAAUUUCUAAAGUAUGACACUCUGAAUUGAGCAACUGUACUUUAAUGUCAUUAAUUUAAAAUAUAUGCAGGUGUUGGUUGAGUAAGAGCUAAGCCAAACACUUGAUUCCUCUUAGGUUUUAAAAAAUGACGCCCUUGCCAAAGUUUUGGGGCCAGAUCAUUCCGGAUGUGUGCGAGGACUAGGUGUAGGAGCUCUUCAUAGUUUUGAGUUUUAAACUUUUAUAGAACAUAGUAUUCCUAUGUAUCCGUAGUUCAUACUCAGAGAAAACUAUGAACAAGGUGUUCUUAGCAUUUUGUGGUAAUUGCGUUGUUGAAAUUUAAUGGUUACUUAUGAGACUUUCAUAUUAUAGAGAAUUUA
This is a long non-coding RNA of Lotus japonicus, 1532 nucleotides long. RefSeq lists it as uncharacterized. The record is from RefSeq and is a predicted model, not a curated record. The transcript is spliced from 6 exons. Lineage: Eukaryota; Viridiplantae; Streptophyta; Magnoliopsida; Fabales; Fabaceae.